UAGGGAAUCUUCGGCAAUGGGGGGAACCCUGACCGAGCAACGCCGCGUGAGUGAAGAAGGUUUUCGGAUCGUAAAGCUCUGUUGUUAAGGAAGAACGAGUGUGAGAAUGGAAAGUUCAUACUGUGACGGUACUUAACCAGAAAGGGACGGCUAACUACGUGCCAGCAGCCGCGGUAAUACGUAGGUCUCGAGCGUUGUCCGGAUUUAUUGGGCGUAAAGCGAGCGCAUGCGGUUAGAUAAGUCUGAAGUUAAAGGCAGUGGCUCAACCAUUGUAGGCUUUGGAAACUGUUUAGCUUGAGUGCGGAAGGGGAGAGUGGAAUUCCAUGUGUAGCGGUGAAAUUCGUAGAUAUAUGGAGGAACACCGGUGGCGAAAGCGGCUCUCUGGUCUGUAACUGACGCUGAGGCUCGAAAGCGUGGGGAGCGAACAGG
Molecule: ribosomal RNA, 429 nt
Filed under: Bacteroidota bacterium
Lineage: Bacteria; Pseudomonadati; Bacteroidota
Description: Bacteroidetes bacterium partial 16S ribosomal RNA
Rfam family: Bacterial small subunit ribosomal RNA
Source: RNAcentral